Molecule: non-coding RNA, 491 nt
Filed under: Zootermopsis nevadensis
Lineage: Eukaryota; Metazoa; Arthropoda; Insecta; Blattodea; Termopsidae
Description: eukaryotic small subunit ribosomal RNA
Rfam family: Eukaryotic small subunit ribosomal RNA
Source: Rfam by way of RNAcentral
ACAUUGCAUAAUUUAAACUGUUUUGUCAUUGAUCUGCUCAGAUGGGUAAUUCAUAAAUUUAUAGAAAAUAUCCUAAAAAAAUUUAAAAAAAAUUAUUUAGGCCGAUUGAAGUUGGCGGCCUUCAGCGCAUUAUCGUGCAGCAAUUUGACCUCCAUUGACGUGUGGCUGGGUGUAUAAGCACAGACUUUCAGGCGUUUCGAACAUUCUUUAUAGGCGUGGAGUACAAGCUUUGACAUUCAGUCAUCAGGGACAGUUCUCCUUGUAAAAUCGGGUUCUCGUCCGGUUAUAUUUUGUUGGUUUUCGGAAGCCCCGAGGUAAUGAUCAAAAGGGACAGACGGGGGCAUUCGUAUUGCGACGUUAGAGGUGAAAUUCUCGGAUCGUCGCAAGACGGACAGAAGCGAAAGCAUUAGCCAAGAAUGUUUUCUCUGAACAAGAACGAAAGUUAGAGGUUCGAAGGCGAUCAGAUACCGCCCUAGGAAGAUUUAAAGAUU